RNAcentral lists this ribosomal RNA (301 nucleotides) under uncultured bacterium. Its description in RNAcentral is "partial 16S ribosomal RNA". It matches the Rfam family "Bacterial small subunit ribosomal RNA", at positions 509 to 807 of the family's 1533-position model. The record is from RNAcentral.
CAGUCGCCACGGUAAUACGAAGGGGGCUAGCGUUGUUCGGAAUCACUGGGCGUAAAGCGCACGUAGGCGGACACUUAAGUCAGAGGUGAAAUCCCAAGGCUCAACCUUGGAACUGCCUUUGAUACUGGGUGUCUUGAGCUCGGGAGAGGUGAGUGGAACUGCGAGUGUAGAGGUGAAAUUCGUAGAUAUUCGCAAGAACACCAGUGGCGAAGGCGGCUCACUGGCCCGAUACUGACGCUGAGGUGCGAAAGCGUGGGGAGCAAACAGGAUUAGAUACCCCUGUAGUCCCUGUCUCUUAUAC